UACAGAGACUGCAAGCGUUAUUCGGAUUCACUGGGCGUAAAGGGUGCGCAGGCGGCCGUGUGUGUUAGAUGUGAAAUCCCGGGGGCUCAACCCCGGACUGCGUCUAAACUACAUGGCUAGAGUAUUGGAGAGGUAACGGAAUUCACGGUGUAGCAGUGAAAUAGCGUAGAUAUCGUGAGGAACACCAGAGGCGAAGGCGGUUACCUGGACAAUUACUGACGCUCAGGCACGAAAGCGU
Molecule: ribosomal RNA, 238 nt
Filed under: uncultured bacterium
Lineage: Bacteria
Description: partial 16S ribosomal RNA
Rfam family: Bacterial small subunit ribosomal RNA
Source: RNAcentral